Sander lucioperca (pikeperch) is the source of this 315-nucleotide long non-coding RNA. RefSeq lists it as uncharacterized. Lineage: Eukaryota; Metazoa; Chordata; Actinopteri; Perciformes; Percidae. The record is from RefSeq and is a predicted model, not a curated record. The transcript is spliced from 2 exons.
CAACUUUGAAUUCCUUAUCUCAAUUCUCAUAUUUUAACAGGAGGAGUGGGAGCUGGUCAGUGGGUUGGCAACACCUCCAAUGUUUACGCUGGUUCUAACUCAGGAUCCAUCGGUUCAGGGAAUCACAUCAACAUGAGCUGAGGUAAGAAAUGGAAGAGAUUUACUAUCAGAUGAAAUCGGCCUCCAACUCUUCUAAAAACAAUGCACCAUUUGUUGAAUGUAGAAUUCAUGAUUUCAAAUCAACAGAAAGAGUCAGUCAUCCGAUUAAUGUAAAGGAAAUAUGAAUGCAAAUAAAGUAGAGUAGCUGCUCUAUGA